CCUACGGGCGGCAGCAGUGGGGAAUAUUGGACAAUGGGGGCAACCCUGAUCCAGCCAUGCCGCGUGUGUGAAGAAGGCCCUCGGGUUGUAAAGCACUUUCAGUGAGGAAGAACGCCUGGUGGUUAAUACCCAUCAGGAAAGACAUCACUCACAGAAGAAGCACCGGCUAACUCCGUGCCAGCAGCCGCGGUAAUACGGAGGGUGCGAGCGUUAAUCGGAAUUACUGGGCGUAAAGCGCGCGUAGGUGGCUUGAUAAGCCGGUUGUGAAAGCCCCGGGCUCAACCUGGGAACGGCAUCCGGAACUGUCAAGCUAGAGUGCAGGAGAGGAAGGUAGAAUUCCCGGUGUAGCGGUGAAAUGCGUAGAGAUCGGGAGGAAUACCAGUGGCGAAGGCGGCCUUCUGGACUGACACUGAUACUGAGGUGCGAAAGCGUGGGUAGCAAACAGGAUUAGAUACCCUGGUAGUC
RNAcentral lists this ribosomal RNA (465 nucleotides) under Vreelandella stevensii. RNAcentral's name for it is "partial 16S ribosomal RNA". It matches the Rfam family "Bacterial small subunit ribosomal RNA", at positions 338 to 795 of the family's 1533-position model. The record is from RNAcentral. Lineage: Bacteria; Pseudomonadati; Pseudomonadota; Gammaproteobacteria; Oceanospirillales; Halomonadaceae.